Molecule: ribosomal RNA, 488 nt
Filed under: uncultured bacterium
Lineage: Bacteria
Description: bacterial SSU rRNA
Rfam family: Bacterial small subunit ribosomal RNA
Source: RNAcentral
AGUAGUUGAUCAGUGGCUCGAGGACACGCUGGCGGCGUGCCUAACACAUGCAAGUCGAACGAGAUCCAUGGGAGCUUGCUCCCGGAAGAUCUAGUGGCGAACGGGUGAGUAACACGUGAGAAACCUGCCCUGGAGUGGGGAAUAACUCGGGGAAACUCGAGCUAAUACCGCAUACCCUCGGAUGGUCGCAUGGCCGACCGAGGAAAGAUUUAUCGCUCUAGGAGGGUCUCGCGGCCUAUCAGCUAGUUGGUGGGGUAACGGCCUACCAAGGCAACGACGGGUAGCUGGUUUGAGAGAACGAUCAGCCACACUGGGACUGAGACACGGCCCAGACUCCUACGGGAGGCAGCAGUGGGGAAUCUUGCGCAAUGGGCGAAAGCCUGACGCAGCAACGCCGCGUGCGGGAUGACGGCCUUCGUGGUUGUAAACCGCUUUCAGCAGGGACGAAAAUGACGGUACCUGCAGAAGAAGCCCCGGCUAACUACGUG